GACGAACGCUGGCGGUGCGCCUUAUGCAUGCAAGUCGAGCGAAGCUUUUCAGUAGUUUACUACAGAAAAUGACUGAGCGGCGAACGGGUGAGUAACGCGUGAGCAAUCUACCUUAGUUACUGGGAUAGCCCGAGGAAACUCGGAUUAAUACCGGAUAAUCUUAUUACAUCACAUGAUAUUUUAAGUAAAGGUCAGCCGAACUAAGAUGAGCUCGCGUUCUAUCAGCUUGUUGGUGGGGUAAAAGCCUACCAAGGCUACGACGGAUAGCUGGUCUGAGAGGACGAUCAGCCACACUGGGACUGAGACACGGCCCAGACUCCUACGGGAGGCUGCAGCAGGGAAUAUUGCGCAAUGAGCGAAAGCUUGACGCAGCGACACCGCGUGUGGGAUGACGGUUCUAGGAUUGUAAACCACUUUCAGGAGGGAAGAAAAUGACGG
This 438-nucleotide ribosomal RNA is filed under the name uncultured bacterium. RNAcentral describes it as "bacterial SSU rRNA". It matches the Rfam family "Bacterial small subunit ribosomal RNA", at positions 28 to 457 of the family's 1533-position model. The record is from RNAcentral.